Molecule: non-coding RNA, 72 nt
Organism: Smittium simulii
Lineage: Eukaryota; Fungi; Kickxellomycota; Harpellomycetes; Harpellales; Legeriomycetaceae
Source: the annotation of a GenBank genome assembly
AAUUUUUUAGUGUAGAUGGUUAUCGUCUUUCUAACACACAGACGGUCACCGGUUUGAGUCCGGCAGAAAUCA